RNAcentral lists this ribosomal RNA (1468 nucleotides) under uncultured prokaryote. Its description in RNAcentral is "partial 16S ribosomal RNA". It matches the Rfam family "Bacterial small subunit ribosomal RNA". The record is from RNAcentral.
GAGUUUGAUCAGGGCUCAGAUUGAACGCUGGCGGUAUGCUUAACACAUGCAAGUCGAACGGUAACAGGACUAGCUUGCUAGAUGCUGACGAGUGGCGGACGGGUGAGUAAUGCAUAGGAAUCUACCUUGUAGCGGGGGACAACCUGGGGAAAACCAGGCUAAUACCCCACGCAUAAUCCCUACGUGGCAAAGCAGGGGACCUUCGGGCCUUGCACUAUUAGAUGAGCCUAUGUCGGAUUAGCUAGUUGGUGAGGUAAUGGCUCACCAAGGCGACGAUCCGUAGCUGGUUUGAGAGGAUGAUCAGCCACACUGGGACUGAGACACGGCCCAGACUCCUACGGGAGGCAGCAGUGGGGAAUAUUGCACAAUGGACGAAAGUCUGAUGCAGCAAUGCCGCGUGUGUGAAGAAGGCCUUAGGGUCGUAAAACUCUUUCGCCAGAGAUGAUAAUGACAGUAUCUGGUAAAGAAACCCCGGCUAACUCCGUGCCAGCAGCCGCGGUAAUACGGAGGGGGUUAGCGUUGUUCGGAAUUACUGGGCGUAAAGCGCACGUAGGCGGAUUAGUAAGUUAGGGGUGAAAUCCCAGGGCUCAACCCUGGAACUGCCUCUAAAACUGCUAGUCUUGAGUUCGAGAGAGGUGAGUGGUAUUCCAAGUGUAGAGGUGAAAUUCGUAGAUAUUAGGAAGAACACCGAUUGCGAAGGCAGCUUACUAAGCUAAAACUGACGCUCAGGCACGAAAGCGUGGGGAUCAAACAGGAUUAGAUACCCUGGUAGUCCACGCUGUAAACGAUGAUCACUCGUUGUUGGCGAUACACAGUCAGCGACUGAACGAAAGUAUUAAGUGAUCCACCUGGGAAGUACGAUCGCAAGGUUGAAACUCAAAGGAAUUGACGGGGGCCCGCACAAGCGGUGGAGCAUGUGGUUUAAUUCGAUGAUACGCGAGGAACCUUACCUGGGCUUAAAUGUUUAAUGACCGUCCCCGAAAGGGGAUUUUCCUUCAGGACAUUUUACAAGGUGCUGCAUGGUUGUCGUCAACUCGUGCCGUGAGGUGUCGGGUUAAGUCCCAUAACGAGCGCAACCCCUAUUCUUAGUUGCCAUCAGGUAAUGCUGGGGACUCUAAGGAACUGCCUACGCAAGUAGUGAGGAAGGUGGGGAUGACGUCAAAUCAUCAUGGCCCUUACGCCCAGGGCUACACACGUGCUACAAUGGAAAGUACAGAUGGUUGCUGCUCUGGUGACAGGAUGCUAAUCUCGAAAGCUGGUCUCAGUUCGGAUUGGAGUCUGCAACUCGACCUCAUGAAGCCGGAAUCGCUAGUAAUCGCGUAUCAGCAAUGACGCGGUGAAUACGUUCCCGGGCCUUGUACACACCGCCCGUCAAGCCAUGGAAGUUGGGAGUGCCUAAAGUCGGAAACCAUAUAGGAUCCGCCUAGGGUAAAACCGAUAACUAGGGCUAAGUCGUAACAAGGUAACC